GAGCCAAGGAUAUUGCUAAAAGAAGGGCAGAGGUGCUACCCUCGGGGCCGAGCUAAAGGGGGCAAGAGCGGGAGGGGACAGGCGACGGCCAGGCCAGGGAAGAUGAUGCCUGGGAGCAGAGCGGGGAGGAAGAGCUGAGCGGACAAAGGGCCGGCGCAGGCUGGGCGAGGCUCGGAUGUCAGAGGUGCUGGAGGACGAGGUCCGGCUACAGCCAGGGUGCAGCACGCUAAGAGUCUCCUCGGUGCAAACCCACAUACUGGCGGGGUGCUGGCACAGCCUCACUCCCUGGUGCCUUCAGGGACCUCAGGAACCACCUGCUGCCACACUGAUUCAUCAGCCCGGCUGCCAUGUCCGAGGGCCCCUCCACACAGAGAGGAGCAUCUCUGUAGAAGAACACCCGUGAGCACAGAACAGUAAAGUGGAGGCCGGAAGAAAUGUUAAAGGAUGCUUCCCAGAAGAAAUGAAGCCGGGGCUGAAUUUGGGAGAUGAACCCAAGUUAGCUAAAUGGAUAAAGCGAUAAACGAACCCAUCAUCUAGGACGUAAUUACUGAGCACCUGCCGUGUGUCCAGCACCGAGCUAGCUGCUUCCCGGAAGUUAUCUCACUUUCCUGGCAACUUAGAGCCGAAUCCCAACACUGAGAGCACGGGGCAGAUAUGUGAGGACUGAGCUGGAGCAGCCUUCUUGUGAUCAUGAGGACAAGAGCCACACACAGAGAAUGGCAGAGGGAAAACCAGAAGCUUCUGUGGAGGCAUCUUCUGCAGUUCAUAGCCAAUCGCAACCUAAUAGCUACAGGUUCUGAAGAAAGACUUUCGUCACCAUAGAAAAGUUUGCCGACUCUUGACCAUCAGGAUAAAGCUUAGCAUCUUGGCAAGGACAACCCAGGCUGAAAUGGCUUUCCUAGCUAGUUGGAGCUCCCUUCCACAUUGCUCUGCAGUAGUCCCACUUUCCCUAUUCCUCCUCAGAGCACUUUUCUGAGCUCCUGAGGGCUGACCUUGGCCCACCCAGCCUUGGUUUAUGAAUUCUGUCAGUUUGACCAUUAGCUCCAAAAAAGGAAGGGAAGUUCCUUUUCCUGAACAUAGCCUGCACAGUGAUUCCUGGCC
Molecule: long non-coding RNA, 1101 nt
Organism: Zalophus californianus (California sea lion)
Lineage: Eukaryota; Metazoa; Chordata; Mammalia; Carnivora; Otariidae
Exons: 5
Source: RefSeq, a predicted model, not a curated record